AGAGUUUGAUCCUGGCUCAGGAUGAACGCUGGCGGCGUGCCUAACACAUGCAAGUCGAGCGAUUUACUUCGGUAAAGAGCGGCGGACGGUGAGUAACGCGUGGGUAACCUGCCCUGUACACACGGAUAACAUACCGAGAGGUAUGCUAAUACGAGAUAAUAUACUUUUAUCGCAUGGUAGAAGUAUCAAAGCUUUUGCGGUACAGGAUGGACCCGCGUCUGAUUAGCUAGUUGGUAAGGUAACGGCUUACCAAGGCGACGAUCAGUAGCCGACCUGAGAGGGUGAUCGGCCACAUUGGAACUGAGACACGGUCCAAACUCCUACGGGAGGCAGCAGUGGGGAAUAUUGCACAAUGGGCGAAAGCCUGAUGCAGCAACGCCGCGUGAGCGAUGAAGGCCUUCGGGUCGUAAAGCUCUGUCCUCAAGGAAGAUAAUGACGGUACUUGAGGAGGAAGCCCCGGCUAACUACGUG
Molecule: ribosomal RNA, 471 nt
Filed under: uncultured bacterium
Lineage: Bacteria
Description: bacterial SSU rRNA
Rfam family: Bacterial small subunit ribosomal RNA
Source: RNAcentral